Molecule: ribosomal RNA, 1434 nt
Filed under: uncultured organism
Description: partial small subunit ribosomal RNA
Rfam family: Bacterial small subunit ribosomal RNA
Source: RNAcentral
UUGCGGCGUGCUUAACACAUGCAAGUCGAACGGAAAGGCCCUGCUUUUGUGGGGUGCUCGAGUGGCGAACGGGUGAGUAACACGUGAGUAACCUGCCCUUGACUUUGGGAUAACUUCAGGAAACUGGGGCUAAUACCGGAUAGGAGCUCCUGCUGCAUGGUGGGGGUUGGAAAGUUUCGGCGGUUGGGGAUGGACUCGCGGCUUAUCAGCUUGUUGGUGGGGUAGUGGCUUACCAAGGCUUUGACGGGUAGCCGGCCUGAGAGGGUGACCGGCCACAUUGGGACUGAGAUACGGCCCAGACUCCUACGGGAGGCAGCAGUGGGGAAUAUUGCACAAUGGGCGGAAGCCUGAUGCAGCAACGCCGCGUGCGGGAUGACGGCCUUCGGGUUGUAAACCGCUUUCGCCUGUGACGAAGCGUGAGUGACGGUAAUGGGUAAAGAAGCACCGGCUAACUACGUGCCAGCAGCCGCGGUGAUACGUAGGGUGCGAGCGUUGUCCGGAUUUAUUGGGCGUAAAGGGCUCGUAGGUGGUUGAUCGCGUCGGAAGUGUAAUCUUGGGGCUUAACCCUGAGCGUGCUUUCGAUACGGGUUGACUUGAGGAAGGUAGGGGAGAAUGGAAUUCCUGGUGGAGCGGUGGAAUGCGCAGAUAUCAGGAGGAACACCAGUGGCGAAGGCGGUUCUCUGGGCCUUUCCUGACGCUGAGGAGCGAAAGCGUGGGGAGCGAACAGGCUUAGAUACCCUGGUAGUCCACGCUGUAAACGGUGGGUACUAGGUGUGGGGUCCAUUCCACGGGUUCCGUGCCGUAGCUAACGCUUUAAGUACCCCGCCUGGGGAGUACGGCCGCAAGGCUAAAACUCAAAGGAAUUGACGGGGCCCCGCACAAGCGGCGGAGCAUGCGGAUUAAUUCGAUGCAACGCGUAGAACCUUACCUGGGUUUGACAUGGAUCGGGAGUGCUCAGAGAUGGGUGUGCCUCUUUUGGGGUCGGUUCACAGGUGGUGCAUGGCUGUCGUCAGCUCGUGUCGUGAGAUGUUGGGUUAAGUCCCGCAACGAGCGCAACCCUUGUUCACUGUUGCCAGCACGUUAUGGUGGGGACUCAGUGGAGACCGCCGGGGUCAACUCGGAGGAAGGUGGGGAUGACGUCAAGUCAUCAUGCCCCUUAUGUCCAGGACUUCACGCAUGCUACAAUGGCUGGUACAGAGAGUGGCGAGCCUGUGAGGGUGAGCGAAUCUCGGAAAGCCGGUCUCAGUUCGGAUUGGGGUCUGCAACUCGACCUCAUGAAGUCGGAGUCGCUAGUAAUCGCAGAUCAGUAACGCUGCGGUGAAUACGUUCCCGGGGCUUGUACACACCGCCCGUCAAGUCAUGAAAGUUGGUAACACCCGAAGCCGGUGGCCUAACCGUUGUGGGGGAGCCGUCGAAGGUGGGACUGGUGAUUAG